CAUGGGUAGGAAGGAGUCUGGAGGGAGGGGAAGAGAGAGACUGGUGAGCUCUGUCUCAUUCUCCUGUCAUUGUGCCUGGCUCUGUGGGCAGAGGCAGUGCUAAUUCUGUGAAGGCACAGCUGUUGUCAGGUGACUGUACAGUGGCAGGCCUUUCUGGGUUCUGGAUGGUUGCUUGUUUCUACCCUGAAGACUUCACACCCCUCACCGUGUCCCCUGGUUGCAGCCUCCAUGUUUGCGGGAAGCCUUCAUUAAACAGUCUUCUCUUCCUAUUGUCUGUGUCUUGCCAGGACCUGAAUGAUGCAUAAUGAACGUGGUCAGACCUAGGACCAUAGUGUGCUCAGGAGGCUACAAUGUCUAUGAAAAAGCAGAAGAGGAAGUCUGCCGGGAGGGGGAGAGACAGCGUUAGCUGUAUUUGCAGUUUUAUUUAUUUCUUAAAUUAAAAAAGUAAAACACACCAGAAGCUAUUGUGUUAAAACUGUAAGUCAGUUAAAUCUAGGACAAGAGGAGUAUAUGAGAGACCCAAGGCUAAUUGCACAGGAUGGACAAUGCUCUCCCUGGAUACCUUGGAGGGACUCUUCACCAGGACCGUCUCUGAAGACACAGAGCCCACAGCCUUAGAUGAGGUGGGUCUGUCUUCUGUGCGUGGAGACAGUGGGCAGUACACACCACAAGGAGGAGGAGCAUGAUGGAAGCAGGAGAAACCUGAACCUGGGUCAGGCUAGAAGAGAUUGAAUCCAGGCCCUUUUAUGUGGUAAACAAAUGUUCUAUUAUUGAGUUGUGGCCACAUCCCCUGACCAGAUCAUCCUUGAAGACCUGUUGAACUGUUGAAGACACUCAAGAGCAGGAGGUCAUUGUUGUGUACCAAGGAAACACUGGGUCCUUGAAAGCUUUCCGGAGAGAUGCAGAGGCUGGUAGCAUCUCCCUCCUUGAUAUCAAGGUGACGAUUGGAUGAUUCUCUGAGGAGCACAAGGCAUGCCCUUUGCGAUGGAUGAGAAGGUUCUGCUCCCACCACCAUCCUCCCCUCUAGAUGGCUCUGGCUACCCCUUGUGAUGGAAACAGAUGGCUAAACCUCUGGGCUUCAGGCCUCACCUAGGCAUGUAAGCAGCAAAUGUCAUGCGGAGCUUUGCCUGAGGCCCUAAUUCUCAUGAGUCUCAUUUGCUGUCUUGCCACAGGCACUUAAGAACUGAGUACAAACUUUCCGAUGUUUUCAAAAAGAGGAUGUCACAACAACUGAGCUCCUGAGUUGAUUAGAGCACUGUGUGACUCGUCCACUAAGGUUAGUGGAGAAGAAUGCACUAUUGAAGCAGAGUUUCAAGUCAGAUCACAGGAGUGCAGAAGGAUGACGUUUCCCAUCACUGCCUGCUUCCACCUUAGUUUAUGAGUGUGAUACAGGGUCUCAGCUGUUGCCUGACUUUGCUUCCUGAGAGCUGGGAUUAUAGACAUCACCACACAAGGCACUCUUCCUAUUUUCUGGAAGGUUGUAUUGUCGAAUGACAAGGUGACUCAUCCCAGAAGCCAUAGGCUGCCAAGUGAAAAACCCAGCAUUCAUUUUCUGGUGUGUGUCUGCAUAAAUAUCUUCUGGUCACUGCCUUGACGGAGGCAAGCCAGCAGAUGCGCCUAUCCUCUGCCUCCUGAGUGCUGAGAUUAAAGGCCACUGAACCUCCAGUUCUUCACUUCUGCUCCUUUGUUCCUGAAGACCGGUGGCCAACAACCCCAGGACCAGAAAGAGCACAGAAGUGACUUCAAUCUACAAAUUCUACAAACUUUAGAACGCCCCCAAACUGCUGGCACACUCUGAAGCCACACCACAGGCUUGAUGGAGCAGAUCUCUUAGAGCCCUCAGAGGGAACACCCAGGGCUGAUACCCUGAAUUGAACUUUCAGCCUCUAGAACUCUGAGAGAGCCCAUUUCUUUAGUUUUAAACCAUGAGCAGGUGGUACUAGUUACAGAAGUCUGACAAACUGAAAUGCUAGCAUAGUUAGUUGUGGAGAAAAACUGACUGGCUACCUUUUGAUCACAUGGCCAAUUAUGCAACCAAUCAGAAACCAGAGCCUUUUUUUGUUUUUCCUUCAGUUGGACUGACUAUAUAGAAUGUUAUAGGCUCCAACCACUGGGAAAUGCCAGUGGAUGUUGUUAGGACCAAUGAAAAUGAUGAUGUGCCCAGCAGAUUUUAUAUGAAAGAGGUUUAUUAGAUGGAGAUGAAGAGAGAGAGAGAGCGAGACAUGAGAGGGGGAAGAAGGACAGAGAAAGGGGAGAGGGCAAGAGAGGAGAGGGUAAGAGCCGAGAGAGAGAGAGAGAGAGAGAGAGAGAGAGAGAGAGAGAGAGAGAGACAAAGACAAAGUGGCGGGUUAGUACUUUUAAGCAAUGUAACCACAACUGCCAGGUGUGUGGACGACACAUGAUGACAUCAUAGGUUGCUAGGCAACCCAGAAGCAGGCUGCCUAAAUACUAACAGAUGUGGCCAGAGGGUUAAAGAUGUGUGUGUUGGGGAAAUAGGAUAUUUCCCCCUAUUAGGUUGAAACUUCACCAAGAAAAUGGAAAUUUUCAGUUGGAUGUCAACCACUGAAAUAAUGUUGACUAAUACAGCUUUGUUCUAAUAAAAUAUCUUAAUUUCUCUAUGUCAA
Meriones unguiculatus (Mongolian gerbil) is the source of this 2624-nucleotide long non-coding RNA. RefSeq lists it as uncharacterized. The record is from RefSeq and is a predicted model, not a curated record. NCBI's taxonomy places the organism in Eukaryota, Metazoa, Chordata, Mammalia, Rodentia, Muridae. The transcript is spliced from 5 exons.